This 253-nucleotide ribosomal RNA is filed under the name uncultured bacterium. RNAcentral's name for it is "partial 16S ribosomal RNA". It matches the Rfam family "Bacterial small subunit ribosomal RNA", at positions 524 to 776 of the family's 1533-position model. The record is from RNAcentral.
UACAGAGGGGGCGAGCGUUGUUCGGAAUUACUGGGCGUAAAGGGCGCGUAGGUGGCCUGCUAUGUCGAACGUGAAAUCCCUGGGCUCAACCCAGGAACUGCGUCCGAAACUGGCAGGCUUGAAUCCGGGAGAGGGAUGUGGAAUUCCAGGUGUAGCGGUGAAAUGCGUAGAUAUCUGGAGGAACACCGGUGGCGAAGGCGGCAUCCUGGACCGGUAUUGACGCUGAGGAGCGAAAGCGUGGGUAGCAAACAGG